AGAACACCAAGGGCUGGUGCGCCACCCAUAAUUCCUUUGGGCUUCCCCCGGGAGGGUUGCCCCCCUCCCGGUGAACUUCCGGAACCCAUUCGUCACUCCCGGUACAUUCCCGGUAAUGCCCGAAAACUUUCCGGUAACCAAAUGAAGUCAUCCUAUAUAUCAAUCUUCGUCUCUGGAUCAUUUCGGAAACCCUCGUGACGUCCGUGAUCUCAUUCGGGACUCCGAACAACAUUCGUAACCACACAUAUAACUCAAC
Molecule: long non-coding RNA, 256 nt
Filed under: Hordeum vulgare
Lineage: Eukaryota; Viridiplantae; Streptophyta; Magnoliopsida; Poales; Poaceae
Description: long non-coding RNA (HVUL_LNC011872)
Source: RNAcentral